GAUGAACGCUGGCGGCGUGCCUAAUACAUGCAAGUCGAGCGAACGGACGAGAAGCUUGCUUCUCUGAUGUUAGCGGCGGACGGGUGAGUAACACGUGGAUAACCUACCUAUAAGACUGGGAUAACUUCGGGAAACCGGAGCUAAUACCGGAUAAUAUUUUGAACCGCAUGGUUCAAAAGUGAAAGACGGUCUUGCUGUCACUUAUAGAUGGAUCCGCGCUGCAUUAGCUAGUUGGUAAGGUAACGGCUUACCAAGGCAACGAUGCAUAGCCGACCUGAGAGGGUGAUCGGCUACACUGGAACUGAGACACGGUCCAGACUCCUACGGGAGGCAGCAGUAGGGAAUCUUCCGCAAUGGGCGAAAGCCUGACGGAGCAACGCCGCGUGAGUGAUGAAGGUCUUCGGAUCGUAAAACUCUGUUAUUAGGGAAGAACAUAUGUGUAAGUAACUGUGCACAUCUUGACGGUACCUAAUCAGAAAGCCACGGCUAACUACGUGCCAGCAGCCGCGGUAAUACGUAGGUGGCAAGCGUUAUCCGGAAUUAUUGGGCGUAAAGCGCGCGUAGGCCGGUUUUUUAAGUCUGAUGUGAAAGCCCCACGGCUCAACCGUGGAGGGUCAUUGGAAACUGGAAAACUUGAGUGCAGAAGAGGAAAGUGGAAUUCCAUGUGUAGCGGUGAAAUGCGCAGAGAUAUGGAGGAACACCAGUGGCGAAGGCGACUUUCUGGUCUGUAACUGACGCUGAUGUGCGAAAGCGUGGGGAUCAAACAGGAUUAGAUACCCUGGUAGUCCACGCCGUAAACGAUGAGUGCUAAGUGUUAGGGGGUUUCCGCCCCUUAGUGCUGCAGCUAACGCAUUAAGCACUCCGCCUGGGGAGUACGACCGCAAGGUUGAAACUCAAAGGAAUUGACGGGGACCCGCACAAGCGGUGGAGCAUGUGGUUUAAUUCGAAGCAACGCGAAGAACCUUACCAAAUCUUGACAUCCUUUGACAACUCUAGAGAUAGAGCUUUCCCCUUCGGGGGACAAAGUGACAGGUGGUGCAUGGUUGUCGUCAGCUCGUGUCGUGAGAUGUUGGGUUAAGUCCCGCAACGAGCGCAACCCUUAAGCUUAGUUGCCAUCAUUAAGUUGGGCACUCUAAGUUGACUGCCGGUGACGAACCGGAGGAAGGUGGGGAUGACGUCAAAUCAUCAUGCCCCUUAUGAUUUGGGCUACACACGUGCUACAAUGGACAAUACAAAGGGCAGCGAAACCGUGAGGUCAAGCAAAUCCCAUAAAGUUGUUCUCAGUUCGGAUUGUAGUCUGCAACUCGACUACAUGAAGCUGGAAUCGCUAGUAAUCGUAGAUCAGCAUGCUACGGUGAAUACGUUCCCGGGUCU
Molecule: ribosomal RNA, 1374 nt
Filed under: uncultured bacterium
Lineage: Bacteria
Description: bacterial SSU rRNA
Rfam family: Bacterial small subunit ribosomal RNA
Source: RNAcentral